RNAcentral lists this unclassified non-coding RNA (214 nucleotides) under Hevea brasiliensis (rubber tree). Lineage: Eukaryota; Viridiplantae; Streptophyta; Magnoliopsida; Malpighiales; Euphorbiaceae. The record is from RNAcentral.
GGUCCAAGGAGAAGCAGUUAUCAGUUCCAGGAGAUGAAUACCUCGAUGAUCCAGAGCCUUCUCUUUUACAAAAAUGGGGGAGGGAUGCAUAAUCCAUUAUCUUUAACAAUUCGUCUUUGCCACAGCCGCUUAGAACUUGCACUUUACGUCUUGUCCGUUCUUGUAACAGAGGUCUCACGGCCUUCCAACAAGCUGAAAAUAUAUACGGAGCAUU